GCCCGGUCUCCGGGUAAGAUGGCAGCGGACGGACAGUGCUCGCUCCCCGCUUCGUGGCGGCCGGUGACCCUCACCCACGUCGAAUAUCCUGCAGGUGAUCUCUCUGGCCAUCUCCUUGCCUACCUGAGCCUCAGCCCCAUAUUUGUCAUCGUUGGUUUUGUGACCCUCAUCAUAUUCAAGCGGGAGCUGCACACGAUCUCGUUCCUUGGGGGCUUGGCACUGAACGAGGGGGUCAACUGGCUGAUCAAACACGUCAUCCAGGAGCCACGGCCCUGUGGAGGUCCCCACACGGCAGUGGGCACCAAGUACGGGAUGCCCUCCAGCCAUUCCCAGUUUAUGUGGUUCUUCUCCGUCUAUUCCUUCCUUUUUCUGUAUUUAAGAAUGCACCAAACGAACAACGCCAGGUUCCUGGACUUGCUGUGGAGGCAUGUACUCUCCCUGGGUCUCCUCACCGUGGCGUUUCUAGUCUCCUAUAGCAGGGUCUACCUGCUGUACCACACCUGGAGCCAGGUGCUCUAUGGGGGCAUCGCUGGAGGCCUCAUGGCCAUCGCCUGGUUCGUCUUCACGCAGGAGGUCCUCACCCCCCUGUUCCCUAGGAUAGCAGCCUGGCCUAUCUCUGAGUUCUUCCUAAUCCGAGACACGAGCCUCAUUCCCAACGUACUCUGGUUUGAGUACACGGUAACCCGGGCAGAAGCCAGGAACAGACAGCGCAAGCUGGGGACGAAACUGCAGUGACGGGUGAGUGUGGCUGUCUCCAGCCUCCAGAUCUGGCCUGCACGAUGCCUUGCAGGGUGGAUGGAAUGACAGACAGAGGGACGAAGCAGAGACCUCUACAGACCCAAGUCACCGAGUGGAGCCUUUUUUUUCUUAUUUUAAUUUUAAUGAACAAGGUGGACCAAAGGGCUGAGCCAGCCCCUCAGCCAGGACCCUGGAGGGCCUGUUGCCGGGGGGCCUCACAGCCAGAGACCCUCACAGUGCUGCUGCCAGCCCCCAGUUGGGCGGAAAGUGCCCCUGACGUGGGCACUGGGGCAUGGGGUAGAGAAGGAGGGCUUGAAUCUCUGGCCGCAGGGCCAGGAAAUGUAGGUGGCGUGAAAAAUGCACACUAUUUAUUUUUUGGUUUUGUCAAAGGCAGAUGGGAUUUUGGAGAGGGACUGGAAGACCCAGCUCUGCGGGGGCUGCCCUGCGUACCGAGGAGCCCAGGUCAGCUUCCCAGGCCCUUUGCCCUGGGCCCGAGAGAUGGCCUGGGGGCCCAGGAGGAGGGAGCACCCCCAUGCCCCCCCUGCCGCCAACGCCAUUCCAGAACCUCGGUCAGUGUUUCCCGUGUGGGAGCCAGGCCCAGAGAGAGCAGGCGUCUGCGCUGCCAUCGCUGUGUCCUACCCGCAUCGACCCUGCGCUGCAAGGGCUUUCUCUGGUUCCCUGUCCCCAAGACAGCGGUCCCUUUCUGAUGAAAGAGCCUGCGCCUGUGGGUGAGCAAACCCAAGCUGUUUACAGCUCUUUCCUGUCCUGCGUCCGCUAGUGGGUCGUCUUCAUCUCCACCCGAACAAAAUGCAGAGGAAGCAGGAGCUGGUGAGAGGAGUGGGGUAGCGGUGCCUACUGUCCCCACCCUUCCCUCCCCUCUGUGUGCUCUGAGCAUUCCUUGUCCUUCCCGACCCCCCUCCGAGAGGCUGGGAACCUGCUUGGGUCACCCCAAACCUGUGUCCGGGGUGUGGCUCACAGAUCCCCACUGCCCAGCUCGGAGGACGACUCCUCCCAAUCUUGAAGCCGCCUUGAAAUGGAGCUGUGGAGAGGAGAUGCGUCCAGACUUGGAAGCUUCUAGAACUGAACCAGGCUGCUCGGGACCUGUGUUCAGGGCCCGACCCCCCUCCCUCCCCCGGCCGCCUUUUCUUUGUGGAGGUUCCUAAUCUGCUGCUGAAGCACAAUAUUUUGGUGCUUUCUUUUCUCAUUUGUUAAAGACAGUGUCCAAAGCCAUUCCAGAUGCCAGGACCAGGGGCCUGUUUCUGGGGAAGCUUGAACAUGUUGACUGAGCUGAUGGGAGGAGCCGGGGACGUGGCUGUGCGGACACACAACCCGAGGGGCAAGGGCAUGGUUAAGACCAGAAGAUCGUGCGCGUCUCCAAGACACCUAGUCCCCUCCAGCCCCCAAAGCCAGGGUUGGAAUGGCCUCUGUGACAUACCCCACUGGGGUCUGAGGACAGCUCCCUUCCACUGAGUUUUUUUCGUCCCAGUCUACCUCCCCCUGUGGCGCUGGCUGGCUCUGCUCUCAGUAAGCCUAGCUUCUCCUUCAUGUGACAGCCCUUGAAGACUGGGGACAACCUGCAUGUCCUUCCUAAGCCUCUGCCAGGAUACAGACCUCCACUCCUUGCUGAGUUCAGUGCUGCUUUAGCGUGCGGACAGGGCCAGAGUCCCUCCGCUCUCCACAGACAGCCCAGCUGACUUUGGCAGGACACCCUGCCUGUACCAGGACAUGGUUCAGGAAUCAAGCUGUGUGGAAGCAAGCGAGCUGGGGCCUGUGAGCCACGUCACCCAGAAGAGCACGGAGCCGCGGGGGACGGUGCUGUGACGCAGCGUGGACUUCCCCCCCACCAGCACACCUUGCGCCCUGGCCCCUCAGCCCUGGGGAAGCCUGGAGGCCCCCAGCUCCAGGGACCUGAGAAUGGCACAGGACCAAGGCUCUCAUCCCAGCCCCGUCGCGGCACCAGCCUGCCUUUCCACGUCGGCUCCCACCGUGCCCUGCCUGAGACGCCCUCUCCUCGUCUCCAGCCGACAGCUUACUCCCUUUCAUUCUUUGGGGUGCAGUUCUUGUGUCACCUCCCUACAGAGACUUCCCUGACGUCCCUGAGGGGGGACUGUCUCAUUCCCUGUGCUUCCUGUCUGGACUGUGAGCCCCUGGGGGCAGGGGCAGUGGUCUGUCCCUGCUCUACCCCAGUGCCCAGCACAGGCUGGCAUGGAUCAGACGUUCCUUCACAUCUGAUCAGUGAAUGCAUGAAAGCGGGCGGGGGGGAUCCUGACUCCUUCCCGGCCUGCCCGAGCUGCAGCGAAGCCCCCUGACCCCAGCUCCUCCUCCAAAGCUCAGCUGCUUCGGGAGUGCGCCUGUGUGCGUCACAUCACCACCAAGUGACCGUGUUCUGGACCUCGGCUCCACUCAGUGCAGCCUUUGUCCGUCUCCAGUUUCUAGUGGCUUCUGUUCCCUGCCACCCCAGGGCACCUAGGGCAGUGGCCCACCUGGCUGGUGGAGAGGUUGAAGUGCAUGGCGAUGGCGUAGGAGGUGUCCAUGAAGAUGUCGGGCAUGCUCACCAGGUCUUCGAUGGCCUGCAGCUUCAGGCCCAGGAGGUGGCGGUCGAAGGCCUCCCCACGGAUGGCCUGCAGGAAGGGGAGCUGUCAGGAACAGGGGCUUCAGGCCCACGAGGCACCGCUGCCCUCCUCAGGAGCCCAUGGCGGCAAUGCCUCUUCCAUUCACUGGCCCCUCAGACCCGUGAGACCAGGGCAGCCAAGCAGAAGAGCCCUCACUUCACAGAUGGGGAAACUGAGGCCCAGGGACCCACCCAGGGAGGCAGGAAGGUGCAGCCUAAGAGCACAGGACUGCAGCUGGGUGGCAUCAUCCUGGCAGGGACCUUGGCAGGUCACUUACAUCUUGAAGCCUCAGUGUCUUCAUCUGUGAAAUAGGGACAGUCACUAAACUCCCUUUGCGGGGCGGCAGUGAGAUCUAGAUAGACCUCUGCAUGUGACAUGGGCAAAGCCUGGCAUGUACAAGUGCUCAGGGCCAGGAUGGGAACCAGACCUCCACCCCUGGACUGCAGCCCAAGCUGUCAGAGGGCAGGACCCCUGCUGUCUGCCAGCCCGUGCACACCCUCAGCAUCCUGGGCUCCAGGGGCAUCGGGGAAGCCGUGAUGACGCAAGAUCCAGAGGCCGACCCGGGCAGCCACUGGGCCUCGCCUUGGUUUCUCCCACUGUAAAAUGGGGAUGUUCAGCUUUGCUCCAAGUGCCCCAAGCCUUAGGGGAGGGGUGUCUGAUGCUAAGGGGAGCAGCCAUUGGCUGCAGGGAUGGACAGGCAGGUGGACAGGCCAGUGGGAAACGCCCGGGUCACGCAAGCAGGGACAGGAAGGGCCGGCUCACCUGCUCGGUGUAGGCUCGGUGGGCCUGCACGGCCUUCCGCAGCAGCCCCACCUUCUGGUGCUCCUGGGCAGGGGGAGGGGACAGGGAGCUGCAGCUUCCUGUUCUUGCCACCUUCCUCAGUGGCCCACUCCCCACUCUAGAUUCUGAGCUCCCUGAGACCAGGAACUGGAGCUGCCAUCUCUCUGGCCAGCCCCCAGCCAAGGCCUGACACAGGGCAAGUGCUCACUGCUGAUGACUGACCCUUGAACAACUCGGGUUUGAACUGUGCGGGUCCACUUACACGUGGAUUGUUUUCAAUAAAUUCGACAGUAUGACAUGACCCGUGGUGGGUUGAACCUGCAGGUGCAGAACCAUGGACACAGAGCUGACUACAAAGUUACAUGUGGAUUUCUGCGGUGACCCUAACCCCUAUGUUGUUCAAGGGUCCACUGCAGUUUCCUUUUCUCUUUGGCUGAAAGAAAGCUCCACGCUGAUAAAUUCAUGGCUCCAUCUCCCCCUAGAUGCCCAGUAUCCACCACAGGACUGGAACACAAUAGGUGCUCACUGCGUGUUGACAGAAUGAGCAGGAAGGGAGAAGGCUCGAACCCAGCUCUCCCACCCUUGCCCCGGACCUCUCACCGUCACA
Molecule: RNA transcript, 4737 nt
Organism: Globicephala melas (long-finned pilot whale)
Lineage: Eukaryota; Metazoa; Chordata; Mammalia; Artiodactyla; Delphinidae
Gene: DOLPP1
Gene name: dolichyldiphosphatase 1
Source: RefSeq, a predicted model, not a curated record